CCUACGGGCGGCAGCAGUGGGGAAUAUUGCACAAUGGGCGCAAGCCUGAUGCAGCCAUGCCGCGUGUGUGAAGAAGGCCUUCGGGUUGUAAAGCACUUUCAGCGGGGAGGAAGGCGGUGAGGUUAAUAACCUCAUCGAUUGACGUUACCCGCAGAAGAAGCACCGGCUAACUCCGUGCCAGCAGCCGCGGUAAUACGGAGGGUGCAAGCGUUAAUCGGAAUUACUGGGCGUAAAGCGCACGCAGGCGGUCUGUCAAGUCGGAUGUGAAAUCCCCGGGCUCAACCUGGGAACUGCAUUCGAAACUGGCAGGCUAGAGUCUUGUAGAGGGGGGUAGAAUUCCAGGUGUAGCGGUGAAAUGCGUAGAGAUCUGGAGGAAUACCGGUGGCGAAGGCGGCCCCCUGGACAAAGACUGACGCUCAGGUGCGAAAGCGUGGGGAGCAAACAGGAUUAGAUACUCUUGUAGUC
RNAcentral lists this ribosomal RNA (465 nucleotides) under uncultured Klebsiella sp. RNAcentral describes it as "bacterial SSU rRNA". It matches the Rfam family "Bacterial small subunit ribosomal RNA", at positions 338 to 795 of the family's 1533-position model. The record is from RNAcentral. Lineage: Bacteria; Pseudomonadati; Pseudomonadota; Gammaproteobacteria; Enterobacterales; Enterobacteriaceae.